Molecule: ribosomal RNA, 240 nt
Filed under: uncultured bacterium
Lineage: Bacteria
Description: partial 16S ribosomal RNA
Rfam family: Bacterial small subunit ribosomal RNA
Source: RNAcentral
GAUCCUGGCUCAGGAUGAACGCUGGCGGCAUGCCUAAUACAUGCAAGUCGGAACGAAGUUUCGAGGAAGCUUGCUUCCAAAGAGACUUAGUGGCGAACGGGUGAGUAACACGUAGGUAACCUGCCCAUGUGUCCGGGAGUAACUGCUGGAAACGGUAGCUAAAACCGGAUAGGUAUACAGAGCGCAUGCUCAGUAUAUUAAAGCGCCCAUCAAGGCGUGAACAUGGAUGGACCUGCGGCG